GCCUUUGGUUCAGUGGUAGAAUGCUCGCCUGCCACACGGGCGCCCCCCGGGUUCGAUUCCCUGCCGAUGCAUUUUUUUUUUACAAUUUUUAAAACUCAUUUAUAUAUUAUAGUGGCGGGUGCCCCGGGUUCGAUUCCCGGCCGAUGCA
RNAcentral lists this transfer RNA (148 nucleotides) under Cordylochernes scorpioides. RNAcentral describes it as "tRNA-Gly". The record is from RNAcentral. Lineage: Eukaryota; Metazoa; Arthropoda; Arachnida; Pseudoscorpiones; Chernetidae.